RNAcentral lists this ribosomal RNA (424 nucleotides) under Verrucomicrobiota bacterium. Its description in RNAcentral is "Verrucomicrobia bacterium partial 16S ribosomal RNA". It matches the Rfam family "Bacterial small subunit ribosomal RNA", at positions 355 to 776 of the family's 1533-position model. Lineage: Bacteria; Pseudomonadati; Verrucomicrobiota. The record is from RNAcentral.
UGAGGAAUAUUGGUCAAUGGGCGAGAGCCUGAACCAGCCAAGUCGCGUGAAGGAUGACGGUCCUAUGGAUUGUAAACUUCUUUAGUAGGCGAGUAAGGAUAGGUACGUGUACCUAUUAGAAAGUAGCCUAAGAAUAAGUAUCGGCUAACUCCGUGCCAGCAGCCGCGGUAAUACGGAGGAUACGAGCGUUAUCCGGAUUUAUUGGGUUUAAAGGGUGCGUAGGUGGCUGAUUAAGUCAGUGGUGAAAAGCUAUGGCUCAACCAUAGUCUUGCCGUUGAUACUGGUUAGCUUGAGUGUAGAUGAUGUAGGCGGAACGUGUAGUGUAGCGGUGAAAUGCAUAGAUAUUACGCAGAACUCCGAUUGCGAAGGCAGCUUACAAAACUACUACUGACACUGAGGCACGAAAGCGUGGGUAUCAAACAGG